This 295-nucleotide signal recognition particle RNA is filed under the name Microtus ochrogaster (prairie vole). RNAcentral describes it as "Metazoan signal recognition particle RNA (ENSMOCG00000012078.1)". It matches the Rfam family "Metazoan signal recognition particle RNA". Rfam says of the family: The signal recognition particle (SRP) is a universally conserved ribonucleoprotein. The record is from RNAcentral. Lineage: Eukaryota; Metazoa; Chordata; Mammalia; Rodentia; Cricetidae.
GCCUGGCGCGCUGGCCCACGCCUGUAGUCCCAGCUACUCGGGAUGCUGAGACAGGAGGAUCGCUUGAGUCCAGGAGUUCUGGGCUGUAGUGCACUAUGCCGAUUGGGUGUCCGCACUAAGUUCGGCAUCAAUAUGGUGACCUCCCGGGAGUGGUGAACCGGCCUAAGGAGGGGUGAACCGGCCCAGGUCGGAAACGGAGCAGGUCAAAACUCCUGUGCUGAUCAAUUAUUGGCCCUGUCUAUUUAUUUAACUAUUAUUGAGGGGUUUCUCCCCACUCUAGGAAAUAAAUGUUACU